UGCACUGGGUUUGCAAUGUAUCGGCCAGC
RNAcentral lists this non-coding RNA (29 nucleotides) under Bombyx mori (domestic silkworm). The record is from RNAcentral. Lineage: Eukaryota; Metazoa; Arthropoda; Insecta; Lepidoptera; Bombycidae.